RNAcentral lists this ribosomal RNA (521 nucleotides) under Enterobacter cloacae. RNAcentral's name for it is "bacterial SSU rRNA". It matches the Rfam family "Bacterial small subunit ribosomal RNA", at positions 1012 to 1533 of the family's 1533-position model. The record is from RNAcentral. Lineage: Bacteria; Pseudomonadati; Pseudomonadota; Gammaproteobacteria; Enterobacterales; Enterobacteriaceae.
UGGUGCCUUCGGGAACUGUGAGACAGGUGCUGCAUGGCUGUCGUCAGCUCGUGUUGUGAAAUGUUGGGUUAAGUCCCGCAACGAGCGCAACCCUUAUCCUUUGUUGCCAGCGGUUAGGCCGGGAACUCAAAGGAGACUGCCAGUGAUAAACUGGAGGAAGGUGGGGAUGACGUCAAGUCAUCAUGGCCCUUACGACCAGGGCUACACACGUGCUACAAUGGCGCAUACAAAGAGAAGCGACCUCGCGAGAGCAAGCGGACCUCAUAAAGUGCGUCGUAGUCCGGAUUGGAGUCUGCAACUCGACUCCAUGAAGUCGGAAUCGCUAGUAAUCGUAGAUCAGAAUGCUACGGUGAAUACGUUCCCGGGCCUUGUACACACCGCCCGUCACACCAUGGGAGUGGGUUGCAAAAGAAGUAGGUAGCUUAACCUUCGGGAGGGCGCUUACCACUUUGUGAUUCAUGACUGGGGUGAAGUCGUAACAAGGUAACCGUAGGGGAACCUGCGGUUGGAUCACCUCCUUA